GCGCGAGGCGUGCGCCUUGGGUGCCGCGUGGCCUCCGGCUCCCGCCCCGCCUGUUCUAUGCCCUGGCGGAUUCGGAGAGACGCUUCCGGGACGCCUGCGCCCUCAAGGUUGGGGUCCACACCCCGCCCCUAAACCAGGGCUGGCUUCAGUUUACCCUGCCAAAUUCCCGGCCUGUUUGGAGGCCGAGUGGCGUUAAGGAUAUGUUGGGAAGUGUGGGGACAAGGGGAGAGAAUAUCGGUAACAGUUUGUGCUUAAUUACUGAAUCUCAUCUAGUCUGCGUCGUGACGGAAGUGGCUUUAGUAAUUCCUGGUUUGCAAACGAAGCAGAGUGGUUCAGUGACCAGCCCCUUCCCGCAGUGUUUGGGCUGGGAUCCACACCCGUUCUGAUCCGGUCUCCCCAGCGCAGUGCAGCUGAGCCAACGUCCAGCGCCCGCGCCGCUGUCCUGGUCAAGUAGUGACCGUUUCCAGGGCCCAGCUGAGGAGACAAAUAAAACAAAGGUACUGAAAUAAAACAGUGAUGGUCCACAUUUGCUUAGUGAUGCAGCAUUAUGCUCCAGAGGCCUAAAAUCUCCAUAGACGACCUGAAAUAUUACAUGUUUAGAAAUUAUGUAUACCUGUUAUCACUUGGGAGGCAGAGGCCGGAGAAUCGCUAUGAGUUCAUGGUCAGCCUGGUCUACACGUUCAAGGCUAGGCUGUAAUAUAUAGCAAAAUCGUCUCAAAAAAAGAAAAAAAAAUCAUGUAUUGAAAAACAGGUUGAGGGCCGGGGAUAUAGCCCAGUAGCUCAGCGCCUGCUUGGCAAGCACAAGAUGCCAGGUACCAAAAAUAAACAAGGUUGAGGUAACCAAGACUACAUUACAGUAGCAAGUUCAAGGCCAGUCCUAGUGAGACCUUAUUUCAAAAAAUAAAAAAUCCUCCAAGGCUGGGGCUGUAGGUAGAGUCCUUGCCUAGCAUGCAGGAAUCCUUGGGUUUUCCAGGAUCACGAGGAAAAAAAAAUCAGUAGCAAGCGUUAGAUACUCACCAUAAAAUCUUGGAGUUUUUGUUUCAGAUUUUUUGGUACUCAGGACCUUGUACUUGCCAGGCAGGUGCUUGUGCCAUUGCACUGUAUCCCUGCCUUUCUUGGAAUUUUGGGGGAGAUUUGGAGUUUUAAUAACUGUGACCCUAGAGAAGCAGAAUAGCUAACCCCCCAGUUUCUUCAGUUUUAUUAGGAAAAGGAAAGUCAGUACUACAUUAACACCACUGUUGAGUAAAUGUAUCCCUGAUGGCUUGAAGAUUUUUUUUCUGUGCUUUGUUUUUGGCAGCAGUGCUUGGGAAUCAAAUCCAGGGUCUUUCAUACAUGCUAGAUGUGCUUGAUAAACACCUUGAGAUUCUACUCCAGCAGCUACAUCUUUUUAUUAUUUAAUUAUUGGUACAUUUUAGGUAUACAUAACAAUCACAUUCAUCAUAGGGAAUCUGUACCUAUACAUAAUAUAUUUUCUCUUGCAAUCCCUCAUCCUCUCAUUUGCAUAAGCUGUUUCCAUUUUUUCCUUGUUGCUUUUUUUCUUUCUUCUUUUCCUCCUCCACCCUCGUUACCCUUUUGAACAUUUGAACACUUUCUUCCUAUUACUUAUACUUCAUAUCACUUACAGGUCUUGGUUCAUACACUUUUAGUCUCUUGCACCAGAGCAGCAAUACAAUAUUUACAGAUGGGUGUUUGUUUCACUUAUAAAUACCCAUCUGUAUAUUGUAUUAAGACUAUACUCCUAAAUAUACUUCAGAGUAUAGUCUUAAGUGGCAUCCAUUCACCUAGAAAUGUCAAGUUUAUCCUUUAUGGAUGAGCAGUAAUCCAUUGUGUGUAUGUGUGUGAGUGUGUGUAUAUAUAUUUGUCCAUUCAUCUUUAUAUCCAUAAAGAUAUAUACACAUCUUUAUCCAUUCAGAAGUUUAUUAGAGUCAGCCAAGUUAGGUAGAAACAUAGUAGGCAGUCAAGCAGUUCUGGGCCUUCCAGUGAGUCAGUGCAGAAGAUGAGAAUCCAUGGGGACUGUGGUGGGAAGGGCGUCUGAAGAUUAAAGUCACCUAAAGGGUUGGUUUUACUACUUCUCUAAGGGAUGAGGGGAGGUUUGGGAUUAUUGGUAUCAUCCUUUUUUUUUUUUUUUUUUUUGUCUUUUUCCUUUUUAUGGUUCUAGGGAUUGAACUCACGAUUGCCUGCUUGCAAGGCAGGUACUUUAUGCCGCUGAGCUAAAUCCCCAGCCCCGGUAUCAUCCUUUUGAGCUUUCCCAUGUCUCAUUCAUGGCGGGACAUCCUCUCUCAUCUACUAUGACUAAGACUAAAACUAAGAGUAAGACUAAGACUGCUAAAACUAAAGACAAGGCCAAGACUAUGGAUUAUCAACCAAGGUUAAUGAUGUCACCCAUGUACCCUUGCUACCAUUAGAUCAAUAAUACUUAAGCAACUAUACUUACAAUCUUAUUCUUUGAACACAAUUUUGACCCACGUUGUACCUGCCUCAUGAUUUUGCUCUACAAAACUUCUUUUGACAGGUGGUCUCAUUGGCAACCCAUUCAAGACGCCGCCUGUCUCUCAAGAGCUAUUUCUAUUCCUCAUUCCCCAUUCCUUUUAUCCAGUAAGUUUUUCUAUUCUUAACCUUCAUGUUUUCUUAGAAUUCAUCCUUUGACUUCAGGGAAUGUGAACUCAGUGUAUUUGACACCUAGCAUUUGCCCUGUAUCAACUUGGGCAUUUGGGCAGUUUCUAAGAUUUGGCUAUUACAAACUGUGCCGCUGUAAAAACAUAGGUUGUGGAUAUAUCACUGUUGCAUAGUGCUUUUGAUUCUUUUCAGAAAGAGAAUAGGUGGGUCGAAUGGAACCUCUUGUUUUAGUUUUUUGAGGAAUAUGCACAGUAGCUGUACCAGUCUACCUUCCUAUCAACAGGGUUCCCUUUUCCCCCACAACCCUUCCAGCAUUUGUUACUGGUUGAUUUCUUUUUUUUUUUUUUUUUUUUUUUUUUUUUUGUCUUUUUCCUUUUUAUCGGUACCGGGGAUCGAACUCACGACUGCCUGCUUGCAAGGCAGGCGCUUAUGCCGCUGAGCUAAAUCCCCAGGCCCCUGGUUGAUUUCUUGAUGGUAGCCAUUUGUUCUGGAGUGAAAACCUCAGUAUUGUUUUAAUUGCAUCUCAAAUAACCAUGGAUGUUGGCCACUCUUUCAUAUAUUUAUUUCUUGUUUCUACUUGUACAACUGAGAAGUGUGUAUUCAACCCAGAUGCCCAUUUUUGAAUUGGGUCUUUACAUUUGGGAAUCUGAUUUUUUUUGUUGUUUUUUGUUUUUUUAUAUAUUCUAGAUAGUAGGACUUUGUCUAAGGAACAACUAGCAAAGAUUUUUCCUCACAUUGUAGGCUUUUUCUUCACUCUAUUGGUGAUUUCCUUUUGCUAUGUAAAAACUCUUUAAGGAGAUGAGAUUCCAGUUACUGCUUUUUUUGUUAUAGUUCCUAUACAAUCAGAGUUUUGUUCAUAAAGUCUUUGCCUAUACAAAAGUCUUCAAGAUUUCUACUUAUUCUACCUUCCAGCAGAUUUAGUGUUUCUCUUUUAAUAUUUAGAUCUUUGAUGCAUUUUGAUUUUGUUUUAGUGCAUGGUGAAAAAUACGGUCUUAGUUUUAAUGUGGAAUGUGCCAUGUGGAAAGCCAGUUUUCCCAGCAUCAUUUAUUAAAGAGGCUAUCUUUCUUCCAGUGGCUCCUUUAUCUUUUUUUUUUUUUUUUUUUUUUGUCUUUUCCUUUUUAUCGGUACUGGAGAUCGAACUCAGGACUGCCUGCCUGCAAGGCAGGAGCUUAUGCCACUGAGCUAAAUCCCCAGCCCCCAUAGUGGCUCCUUUAUCAAAGAUGUUGUUCAAGAAACCCUUAUUCCUAGAGGCUUCUUUUUUAACUGUAGCCCAUAUAGUUCAGCAUCCUCAGGCCAUCUAGGGACUGGUAAUACUUCUGUGGUCGGAAACUGGAUUAGAAUUGUGCAUAUUUCCCAUUUUACCUCAAUAAAUUGCAAGGCUAAAAGCUUUUCUUUGUCUUCCAAUGAGACUUCCUAGAAGUGAGUCAUACUUUAGAUAUGGUUGAGCUUCCAUGUGCAGUACUGGAAUUAUCCAGUCCUUUGAAUGGUACCUGGAUAUGAAGGCAUCUCGUGCAGGGGUGCCCAGCUAAAAGAGCAGCAGAGAAAUGGAGCUGGAGUAAUGGGAUAACAUCAGUUCUUCAGGUUGCUGUUUUUUCUUUUUUUUUGGUACCAGUAAUGAAGCUCAUGACCUUGCGCUUGACAGGCAGGCACUGUGCCCCUGAGCUACAUCCCUGUCAGUUUGCUCUACCUUUGGAUUUUCAGUUACCUGUUAAUAACUUCUUGGAGCUCCUGAUGCUGCCUGCCUAACAUACAAAUCCUGCUAAAGGGCCAGGGAUUUAGCUCAGCAGCAUAAGUGCCUGCCUUGCUAAGUGCACGGCCAUGAGUUCGAUCCCCCGUACCAAAAAACAAAACAACAACAACAAAAAGAACCCUGCUAAAACACAAACACAAAAACAAGACCAUCAACAACUUCUGUGUCAUUUAAAGCCAUUUUCACUUUGUCUUGUGGUGCCAGGGAUUGAAUGCAGGGCCUUGUUCACCCUAGGCAAAUGCCCUAUCUCUAAGCCACGUUCCCAGCCCUGAAAUGUUUUGCACUGAGUUUCCUAUUUCAGUGAAAACUUAAGAUUUUACACAGGAAGUAAAGGCAGAGGUGGCUCUGACACUUUAUGAUCACAUGAGAAGAGCGAUACCAAGGUAGGAUUAUACUUUAAGCAGUAGAGAACACUUAAGUGGCUUUUGUCGUUAGAAUUGUAAAUGACUCUAUCCUCAGAGGAUUGUGCCCAUAGAAGGAAAAAAGGAAAAAGACUGAAGUGCCAAUUGAGGAUUUAUUUUUUGCUGUGCUGGGUGGGGAUUGAACCCAGAGCCCUUGUACCAUAUUAUGUUCCCAGCAUUCUAAACCCUGACCCCCUUUUAUUUUUAUUUUGAGCAAGGUCUCACUAAGUUGCCUAGCUGCCCUUGAAUAUAUGAUCCUCCUGCAUCAGCCUCUCAGAAUGCUGGUAUUACAGACAUGUAUCACCAUUCCUAGGUAGUGUUUCUUUUGAAAAUCUUUAGUAGGCAUGUUGGCACAUGCCCUCAGUCCCAGUGCUUGGGAGACUGUGGCAGGAGAAAUACUAAGAGUUCCAAGAAAGGCUGUGCUACAUAGUGAGCUUGAGCAUGGCCUGAACUACAAAGCAACGCUCUGUCUCAAUCAAUCAGUGAAAAGAAAAUCUUUGCCAGGAGCUCUACCUUAUACCUAUGAAUGUUUGAAGAAUUAUUUUUUGAAAAAUGAAGUCUUGGGGCCUGGGGAUUUAACUCAGCAGCAUUAAGCGCCUGCCUUUUAGGCAGGCAGUCAUGAGUUCGAUCCCUGGUACUGAUAAAAAGGAAAAAGACAAAAAAAAAAAAAAAGAGAGAAAGAAAAAUAAAGUCUUGUUAUAUUGCUCAGACUGGUCUCAAACUCUGGGUCCUCCAGCCUGAGCUGCAAGCGGUGAAGAGUAUAGGCUGGUGCCACUGCACCCACCUGAAAGACAUCACAAUGACCUCUGUUUGGGUGCGGGGAGGUAAAACAGGGUCUCAUGGUGUAGUCCUGACCAGCCCUGAAUAAUCAGCUUCUGAGUGCUAUGGUUUCCCUGAUGCCUAGGCAAUGAUAACUUCCACAGAAUCCCUAUCUUUGCUUUUUUUUUUUCUCUCCUUUUUAAAACAGGGUAUCGCUAUGCAGUUCAGGCUGGCCUCAAACUCAGUUUGUAGCCUAAGUGGCUUCAAACUCUUGGUGAUCUUCCUGCCUCAGCCUCCUGAGUGUUGGGAUUGCAAGCAUGGGCCACCACACCUGCCCUAUCCUUGCAUUUAAAGGGGGACAAGUAAAAGAGGUGUGAUCAAUAGUGUUGUGUUUCUGCAUCUCCUUCUCUAGAAGAGUACUCAGAUCAUUCCAUUCAUUGAGAGACAGACUUGGGGCUGGGGAUUUAGCUCAGCGGCAUAAGCACCUGCCUUGCAAGCAGGCGGUCAUGAGUUCGAUCCCUGGUACUGAUAAAAAACGAACAAAGAAAAAAAAAAGAGAGCCUUAUGAACAGCUAAAUUAAAUGUUAAGCGCCUGGCAAUAAUUACUGACAUGUCUUCUAUAUUUUGUCACGAUAGGCUGUGGCAGGUAUUUAAUCAGAGGUGUUAUUGGGCUGGGUGUGGUAACAUGCCUCUAAUCGGCAUCCUAGGGGGCUAAAACAGGAGGAUCACAAGUUUAGGCUCAGCAUGGGCCAUUUAAUGAGACCCUGUCUCAAAAAUUUAAAAAAAUGGAAAUUGCAGAUAAAACAGUAUGAAGGCCCUAUUUUCAAAUCAAUUCCUAAUACUGUGCACACAAACCAGCCAAAAAAAAAGGUAUCGUAGGAUGGUUAGAACAAUGUGUGCAGAGUCAACACUGCUAGCAAGGAGGCUGUGGUCUUCUCUCAUGCAAGAGUUAUACAAAGAAGUAAAAUGAAUUUUGUGAAGGUAAACACCUCCAUUACUUUGCUUUUCUCAAUAUCCUUAAAGUGAUUGAUAGACUAGUACCCUUAGCAGAGAACAGACAAAAACAGAACUGAGCCACAGAUUAAGGACCAAGUGAGUGUGUGUGAGUAUGUGUGUGGUGCUGGGGAUAAGACCAGGGAUUUUGCUGCACCUAUUAGCUGAGCACACACCUGAGCCUCCAGCCCUCUGUGAAGUGCACGCUGACAUUAUUAAGGUAGAGUGGACGCACAGCUGGUCCCUCAAGCACCUUGGCACAGUCAGUAGUAAAGCUUUUGAAUAAUUUAUAUAGAGAAACUUUUCUUUAGGGUAGUUUUGUAAUGGAAGAAGAGAAAAUUCCCUUUCCUGUUUCCUGCUGGUCAGAUGUCUCAUAGGGAGUUGAUUCCUCCAAAACUAGAUUGUGGCUGGGCGUGGUGGCACACACCUAUAGUUCUAACACUCAGGAAACAGACAAGAGGACCGUUGUGAGUUUGAGGCUAGCCUGGACUACACAGCAAAGAUUCCGUCUUAUAAUAAAUAAAAUGGUAGGUUGCAUCAUCAUACCCCUUUGAUAGUAGCUGAGGAUAUCACAUCCAUUACUUCUUAAGGCAUGGCAUUUUACUGAAGUGUGAAAGCACAAAGAGGAGCCACAAAACUCCAGUGUAGGGGCUGGGGAUUUAGCUCAGCGGCAUAAGUACCUGCCUUGCAAGCAGGCAGUCCUGAGUUCGAUCCCUGGUACCGAUAAAAACGAAAAAGACCAAAAAAAAAAAAAAAAAAAAACUCCAGUGUUGUGCAUUGUCCCAGAGGUUUAGUAGCAGUCUUUGGGUAGCACCUGACAGUCCCUAGAAAUGACCAAUGAGGGCCUGGGAUUUAGCUCAGUGGCCUAAGUACCUGCCUAGCAAGCGCGAGGUUGAGUUUAAUCCCUGGUACCAAAAAAAAACCAAAUGACCGAUGAGCCCAGACCUGGCUGUCCAGUGAGAGUCGUGACACUGGCUGGCAGCAAGGACAGCUGAGCUGAGCAGUUGUCUGUGCUUUGCCGCUGCCUUCCCGGAAUUAACAAUGCUGCCAAUACAAAAUAAGCCUUUGUAAUUGAAGGGCUAUAUGAAGUAGCAGCUGAUUCUAGGUAAUUUAAGCAAAAUGGCAUUGUGGAGUGGGGUUGGGACGGGGUUUCACUGUGGAGCCCAGGCCCCCUUCAAGCUUUCUACAUAAUCUUGGCUGGACUCAGAUUCAUACAUAGUCUUCCUGCUUCAGGCUCUCGACUGCUGGGAAGGCAUGCACUAGCACUACCAUUCCUGCCUGUUUAAGCAAAAUGAUGUUUUGAAAGAUUAGAAAAAGUCACAGGUUAGAAGGGAAGGCUGGGGAACCAGACUCAUAAUAAACAGAUCAAGAAGCUUUAGAGUAUUGAGAGCUGCAUGCACUGCUAUGGCUCUCUUCCAGUGUUGCUAAACAGGUAACAAUGGUCAUUACAGCUUGCUUGCAUCAUUCUACUCUUAUUGAAAAUCCUAGGAGAAAGACCUGACUAACCAAGCCUUAGUCAAAUACUUCCCCCUUGGGUGGUGAAGACCUCCAAGGACCAGGACUUCUAGCUCAUCAAGUCUAUAUACAAUGGGGAGAGAAAAAAAAUCCAUAAUGAAAACUGUGCUGUUAGAAAUGAAUGCUGUUAGCAAAACAUUUGCUCUUUGUCCCUCUGGUGGUUUAGCAUUUAAGUGAUUUUCUUCCCAUUCAUCUACUUUCAAAAAUAGUCCUGCUACCUGGCAUGGUGGUACAUACCAGUAAACCCAGUUACUUGGGAGGCUAAGACAAGAGGACAGCAGAUUCAAGUUCACCCUAGGUAACUUAAGUGAUAUCUUUUUUUUUUUUUGUCGUCUUUUUCCUUUUUAUCGGUACCGGGGAUCGAACUCACAACCGCCUGCUUGCAAGGCAGGUGCUUAUGCCACUGAGCUAAAUCCCCAGCCCCUAACUUAGUGAUAUCUUGUUUCAAACAUUUUUAAAAAGGCCGACAGCUGGGGCCUGCAGCUCAGGGAUGGAAUACUUACCUAGCAUCUGUGAUGCCUUAGGUUUCAACGAAACCCAGGAGUGCAAACCAAAACAAACAGUCCUAACAAUGCAGUUAAUUCUUCAUAAAACAACUCUUCAUUGCACAGAUGCCAAUCUGUGCAAUGAGAUAUUGCAGAUAUCUCAUUGGAGAUAACGCCAAUCUGCAGCAUGAUCUAAGUUCAGGGUCUUGGUGAUGUACAGUUCUGUUCUUGCUUUAGCUGUUCUUAGGUCAGGGAAGUAGAAGCCAGUCCUGGGAUUCUUGGCUGGGAGUAGGUCCUCAAAUGAAGGGGAUAGAGGGAAGCAGGACAUGGCAGUGGAAAUUAGCCACAUGAGGUCUUAGGGGAAGACUGGUUUAGAAGGCCAAUUUAGAAAGCCAAGACAUCUGCAAUACAUACUAUAUCUUAACUAAACAACCAAAACCAACCCCCAGCCCCCAAACCCAAAAUUUACAAGUAAAACAAAGGGCUGGUAUAUAACUCAGUGGUAAAAGGCUCACUUAGCAUGUGGAUGGCCCUGGUUUCAGUCACUAGUACUGGGGAAAAAAGGGCCAUUUACUCCAAUAUUGCUGGUAAUGAGAUAAUCUUUUUUUUUUUUUCUUUUUUUUGGUACUAGGGACCAAAUUCAUGACCUUGCACUUGACAGGCAGGCACUUAGGCCUCUGAGCUAAAUCCUGGGUCCCUAAACUCUUAGUAACAGCCGUAGCAUAAGGUUGAUUUACGUUGAAGUACAUCAGACUUUUCAAAAAAAAACUAUUUUUCACAGCACUGAACGACGGAUGUAACUUUUCACUGGUGUAAUGGCAUUCUAAGGGAAAAAAUUAAAACACAAGUCUCUUUACCUAGCAACAUUAAAUGAAUCAUCAUCUGCUUGUGGAACAAUGUUGUACAUUAGGCCAGGCAGGUAUAAUCCAGGAUGGAGAAGCUGCGGCAGUAUGCCCAACUCUGUGCAUAAGUACUUUUGCCUCAGCUUCUCCAUCUUGGAUUACAAAGACCCUACCUCAAAACAAAACAAUCCCCUCAAAACAAAACACCACAAAAAAAGACCAAAACACAAACAGUGCGUAAAUGCUGGACACAAUAGUGCAUACCUGGAACAUUGAAACGAGACAGCAAUCUCGAGUCUACCUGGGCAACUUAUCAAGGUUUUCUCCAACCAAAGUGUGGCAUGAAAGCUGUUCAAUCCCAUGUACCAUAAAAACAAAAAACUAGGGGCUGGGGAUUUAGCUCAGUGGCGUAAGUGCCUGCCUUGUGUGUGUUCCAUCCCUGGUACCAGUUUAAAAACAACUUGUGGGAGACCAACCCAUUUUCAGCACUGGGACUGAAACUAGAUCAUGCGCUGAGCUUACAUACACACUAAUUUUUUUAUUUUUUUGAGACAGGGUCUCACUAAGUCGCUAAAUUGCCCAAGCAGGCCGCAAACUUACUACCUUCUGCUUUAGCUUCCUCCUAUAUGCGUGUUACACACAUACCACCUUGCCUGGCUGAGUCACAUGAUACAAGUUUUUCAGUGGAAAAAUUGCUGUUGCAUUUUAUUUUUUUGGCUAUGUAUUAAAGUUUUAGUGUUUUAGAGUAUUAAAAAACUAGAUUGAGUGGAAACAUUAAAGUUAUUAGGUUUUACUUUUGGGUUUUGCCCUCAAAUUUAUGGCCACCUUGCUGCCUCAACCUCAUGCGCUAUGGUUAUAAGCAUUAAAAGCCCUUCCUGGUCAUUUUUAUAGAACCCUGGUGCCAUCUGGUUUUCAAUGUACCUAUCAGCAUUUUGCUUUUUAAGACUCAAGACCUUUAAAAGUUAGUUUUAACACCCCUGGGACCCAAAAGUUGAGUGGUGGAGGGAUUGAACAGUCAUCCUCCCUUAAGGUUCGCUACAUGCUUCUUGAAGAUGGUCUCACUAAUGUCACCAAGUUACUCAGGCAGAGCCAUUUAUCUCCUUGCUAUAGCCUCUGACCUUGCUGGCAUUGUAUGGCAUGUGCUACUGUGCCCAUCUUAACGUCACUUUCAAUAUUGUAGUAGUCACUACUUACGUUGCUCGUGCCCUAAUGGACUGUAAGGUUUUUGUUCAUUUUUAACCCUUCUCAUCUUCAACUGUUUAUCACUUACCAAUUAACAGUGGUAAUGUAAACUUCUCUCAAAGCUGCAGCUUGAUUACCAGGGCCAAAUAGCCUUUAGUUUAUCCAUCAGGUCCACAAGGAAAGGUCUGAGUUAUGUUAAAAACAGGUAACAACUCAUUAACUUUUGUAACUUUGUGCAAGAACUUGAUGAAAACCUCCAAUCCACACAGAUGCUUUUCUCCACGAGUUAACUGUAUCUUCACUAUUAAUUUUUUUCUCUGGAAGGGUUAAUUUCACUCUAAGAAAUCCCAACUCACUCGUAUUUAAAAUACCUAAGUGUGUUUUAGUAACACAUAUGUGGCAAAGCAACUUAGCUUUUCCUUGAGAAAAUUGUAUCACAGGUAGUAUUCACUAGUUCCAAGUGUUCAGGCAUUUCAUGUGCUAGUAACCAAAAGAACUCUAAUCCUUCCAACUAAACCCAAGCAUCACUAAAGUAAUUCCCUUAAAAGGUCUAUUUUAUAUGCAUAUACCCAAGAAAAACUGCCCAACUUUAUUACGGGGAACGUAGAACUACCUUAUAAGGCCAUCACCCUAACAAAAGCUACCUACUGGAUUUUAAAAAUGUACCCUCCCUUUGAGGUUAAAUUUAUCAAAGCUAGAAAAACACUCCACACAAAAAAAUAUGUAAGAUUACUGUAUUUCUGUUUCAACAGAUUUUUACAGGUGUCAACCAACCUUUUUCAAACUGGGCACACAUCAAAUCUAGCAUCAUGGGGAGUUUUAUUGUGCAGCGCAACUUUUAAACUACCAAUACAAAUGCCAGGAUACUACACAAAACAUCCACAGGAACGUCUUUCAACUUGUUCUUGAAUAAUUCACAAACAUUUCCUACAUAAUCCAACAUACAACAGAGAAAU
Cavia porcellus (domestic guinea pig) is the source of this 11499-nucleotide long non-coding RNA. RefSeq lists it as uncharacterized. The record is from RefSeq and is a predicted model, not a curated record. The transcript has 2 exons. Lineage: Eukaryota; Metazoa; Chordata; Mammalia; Rodentia; Caviidae.